This 1014-nucleotide long non-coding RNA is filed under the name Oryctolagus cuniculus (rabbit). Its description in RNAcentral is "lncRNA (ENSOCUG00000037517.1)". Lineage: Eukaryota; Metazoa; Chordata; Mammalia; Lagomorpha; Leporidae. The record is from RNAcentral.
AUGCCCAUGUCACAGCCACAGAACACGGCCACACGCCCAUGUCACAGUCACACGCCCAUGUCACAGCCACAGAACAUGGCCACACACCCAUGUCACAGUCACAGAACACAGCCACACACCCAUGUCAUGGCCACAGAACAUGGCCACGUGCCCAUGUCACAGCCACAGAACACGGCCACACGCCCAUGUCACAGCCACAGAACAUGGCCACACGCCCAUGUCACAGCCACAGAACAUGGCCACACACCCAUGUCAUGGCCACAGAACAUGGCCACGUGCCCAUGUCACAGCCACAGAACACGGCCACACGCCCAUGUCACAGCCACAGAACACGGCCACAUGCCCACAUCAUGGCCACAGACACAGCCACACACCCAUGUCACAGUCACAGAACACGGUCACACGCCCAUGUCAUGGUCACAGAACACAGCCACAUGCCCAUGUCACAGCCACAGAACACGGCCACACGCCCAUGUCAUGGUUACAGAACACGGCCACAUGCCCAUAUCACAGCCACACGCCCAUGUCAUAGUCACAGAAUACGGCCACAUGCCCAUGUCACAGCCACAGAACAUGGCCACAUGCCCACAUCAUGGCCACAGAACACAGCCACAUGCCCAUGUCAUGGCCACAGAACACAGCCACACACCCAUGUCAUGGCCACAGAACACGGCCACACGCCCAUGUCACAGCCACAGAACACAGCCACAUGCCCAUGUCAUAGUCACAGAACACAGUUGCAUGCCCACAUCAUGGCCACAGAACACAGCCACACACCCAUGUCACAGCCACAGAACACAGCCACAAGCUCACAUCACAGCCACAUGCCUGUGUCAUAGUCACAGAACACAGCCACAUGCCCACAUCACAGCCACAGAACCUAGCCACACACCCACGUCACGGACACAGAACAUAGCCACAUGCCCACAGAGCACAGCCACACACUCACAUCAGGGACACGGAUGUGACACAGCCACAUGCCCACAUCAUGGAUCCUGCAGACAAUGGCUCUGA